Long non-coding RNA from Onychostoma macrolepis, 808 nucleotides. RefSeq lists it as uncharacterized. The transcript has 3 exons. The record is from RefSeq and is a predicted model, not a curated record. NCBI's taxonomy places the organism in Eukaryota, Metazoa, Chordata, Actinopteri, Cypriniformes, Cyprinidae.
AAAUAAAGCUAAAUAUCGUUGGCUCUGUGAUAAAUUGCAUAUUAUGUUUCUAGAUUAUAUGCUGAUGGCCGUGCAGCAGAGGAGCGCAGAGUCUCCUGUCGGACAACAUCUCUAAGUCGCUAUGAACCAUGUGACUAGAUCCUAUGUACCCAGCCUCAACCAUUCAUCAGAAGGACUGUGAAAGCAGGAACUCUUUGAACCACCAGUGGCAGUUUCCAUGGGAUGAAAAAGGGCAUAGUAGUGGAUGAUGAGGUCCUGAGACCAUAUGGGGUGAAGAUCAAGACAACCAAACCAAAGGUGGACUGUAACCUACUGGACUAUAUGAUAGACUUCAUACUGACCACUACUGCCAUGUAUGCAGCAUGAAAAGUUUUUGAAAAGAGGGGCAUUUCCUUCACCAAGUAAAAGUGUGGAGGAUUCAUCUGGCCUUCAUCCAUGAGGUGACUCGAUGUAGAAUAAAUCAGCUUGCUUUAGGCUUGAAAUGACUGAAAUCUUCUCAUGUGAGUUGAUAUCAUUUUAAACAUUCUUAAAAGUACUUCUCAUUUCUUGUGAAUGUAUUUUGUUGUAUGUGUAAAACUUUUCCACUGAAAGAACCUUUUUUACCUUCAUUGAUAUUGUAAUCAAGGUUGUUAAUGCUAUGGACUGCACACAUCUGCCUGUGUUGGGCUUGUGUUUACAGGUUGUAUAAAACUAGGCCUGGCUGCAACAACUAAUCGAUAAUUAAAAUAAUCAUCAACGAAUUUGAAUAGUGCAUCAAAACAAACAGACCGCUCAUAAUUCUGACUAAAAUACACAUUUUGCUCAAAUA